Molecule: unclassified non-coding RNA, 5799 nt
Filed under: Mizuhopecten yessoensis (Yesso scallop)
Lineage: Eukaryota; Metazoa; Mollusca; Bivalvia; Pectinida; Pectinidae
Description: transcription initiation factor TFIID subunit 3-like, transcript variant X3
Source: RNAcentral
UCUAAAAUGACACCGAUAUACCGAACGGUGCCCGUAAAAUGAAAACGAUGGAGCUAGGAACAACUUAACACCAAGAAAUAAGAAAUAGUACAUAUGCCAUGAACUAUUUUUAUUGCAUCUUACACUGUAGUGAAAUGUUGUAAUGUAAAGGCGAUUCAUCCAGAAAAUGGCGGAUGAGUACUGCCGAAAUAUAUUGCGGAUCAGUCUUGCCCAAAUUUGUCAAAAUCUUGGAUGGAAUGCUGCUCAAGCGACACCUCUGGAGCUUCUUACCGAUGUUUUGGAGAGAUAUCUCCUGGAAGUAGCCAAAGUUACCCAUCGUUACUCAGAGCAGUUUGGGAGGACCGACCCUAACUUAGAUGAUCUGGGCUUAGCGUUUGGACACUUAGGUAUACAACUAGGAGAAUUGGAGGACUACGUUCACCAUGUUGACCCAUUGCCAUUUGCCCAAGAGGUUGUGGCCUUUCCGGCUCCAAAAAGAAACAACCUUCAGUUCCCCAGAUAUGACAGCAGAGAAGUGCUACAAAGGGAGGAACACAUUCCUGAGUAUCUGCCAGCAAUGUUUCCUGAAGAGAUUGAGACUCCACAGUCUCCUCCUCCACACACCCAGCCAGAAACCUGUCUGCUUCCACUCCCUCCGACCACACCCUUGGCUGUCUCACCCUCUGACAUUCAAGUGGAUGGUACUUCAGUCAGCCCAGGAUUGUCCGACAAGCGCCUCCUGACCAGUCCACCAUCUGGGGGACCACCUUCCAAAAGGAUCAGAUUAACCACUCUACCAGAAGAGGCAGCACAUUCACAGUACGAGAUGAAGAGCAUGGCGAUGACUGUUGCUGGGGAGGUGAUGCCGACAGGUGGCUAUAUAGGCAAACUUCCUGAUGCUAAAACACCCCCUCAAGGCUUUCCAAAGAGGUUUCCAAAGGACAACACUCGAGGUUCUGCUUCAAAAUCAGCAUCUUUGCUGCCUGUGGCAAGAGAUAUUCUUUCCGAAUUAAAUAGCAAAAAGGAUUCAAAUGAAGGCUCCCAAAAAAAAGACAAGGAUAAAAGUUCUUCAAAUUCAUCAUCAAAAAAGAGUGGAGUAAAGAAAAAAUCAAAUACCAGCUCAGAAAAGAAAGAUGUGUCCAAGUCAAGAAGUAAAGUUAAAAAGGGCUUACUAACUCCCAAACCAAGGCCGAGGCCGAGGUCAAGGUCAAAGUCACCAGCAAGGGCUAAGAGUCCAAAGGGAGGGGGGACUAAGAAGGGACAGAACAAGGUGUUUAGUGAUAGUGGUGCUGGACUUUUCUCAGAAACAAUUAUGUUGGAGAGACAGAAAGGGCCCAGUUCAGAAAAGGGCAGGUCUAGUUCCCCAAGUGUUAAGAAUAAAGAUGAAUCCCUCUACAGUGCAGUCACAUCUCAUAAAAACAAAGAUUCACCUAGAUCUAUUCCUCUGGAUUUGAGUUGUAAACAAAAGGUUUCUAAACCCAGCGACUUGGAGGAAAAGAAACGUAGACUAGAUGCUAUUCAAAGUUCUAUUGACAGUGUGUUAAGACAAUCAACAUUAAACCAAACAGAAAAGGAGCCAGACAUUCCAGAUGACUCAUUUGUUCCAGUAGAAAAGGAAGUAGAAAAAGAAGAUUCUAAGCCAAUUGAAAAGAUAAAAGAUUUAAAUUUGAGUUCCUCUAUAGAUGAUACUAUCAAUGCUGUGAUAGGGGCAGCAGAUAGGGACGAUACACCGGUAGGGUUAACUCCCGUGUUGGUGAAGGAGGAGGUUAUAGAACAGGAUGUUGUUACACCAACACCUGCCUUGCCUCAGUCACCAGUUUUGACACCAGUGUUAACACCUCAAACCUCUCCACGCAAAAAAGGGAGACCACCCAAGAAAGGUAAAAACAAAGGCAAUAAGAAACCUUCCACUCCACCUGUGGCUCCGUCUGUUGUAGAACCACCACCUAUUAUGGAACCCAAGUCUCCAAAAGAUGAGAAGUUUGCUGUGUUUGACUUUCCCGAGAGUCCACCAAUGAGAUCCACUCCUAAACCCAGCUUUCCUGCCCCUGCCCCUGCCCCUGCCCCUGCCCCACCUGCUCAAGCACCAACUGCUCCCCGAAGUCCCAGUCCUGAACCUGUGGAAGAAGUGCCACCGGUUGUGGUGGAGGAACUACCCCCACCUGUGAUGGAGGAACCACCCAUUAACAUUAAGGUGGAUGAGAGUGCUCCUGUAGCACCUAUAGCAGAAAAAAGUCACAGCAAGGAUAAGGAGAAGCACAAAUCUAAGGAGCAUAAAAAGGAAAAGAAAGAGAAGAAAAAGGACAAAGAAAAGAAAAAGAAAAACAAAGAUAAAGACCGGGACAAAGAGAGAAGCAAACACAAAGACAAGAGUAGCAAGUCACCUGGUACUUUCCCUACUGGUUUGACGAAGCUGAAGAUUCGACUGGGCAGUUCUCCCUUCUCAUCGACUGUGACUUACAGUUCCAAGGCCAAGGAGCAGUCUCCAUCAGGGUCUCCAGCCCAGAGGCCGGAGAUACCAAAACUGGUCAUCAAACCAAUGCCUCCGCUGCCCUCUAGUCAGGAAAGGGGAUCUGACUCACCCAAGACAUCAUCUAGCAGUGCUAAAUCCAGUAAAAAGGAGAGUAAAUCUAAAAAGGAUGUCGGCCAUAUUGUCGUGAAGAAGGAAAUUUUCCCAGAAAAACUCCCCACUACACCACCACCAGUACCUAGGACACCAUCCCCAGCUCCAACAGCAAAAACACCCUCCCCAAUGAAGAAAACACCUUCACCUGUUCCAGUAAAACAUGAACCCUCAUCUGUGCCUCCGCCCAAGCCUAUGACUCCAGUGCCUCCGCCCAAGUCUGUGACCCCCGUGCCAAAGUUUACAGGGUCAGAAUCACCAGACCAAAGUUCCCAUGAUAAACCACCCAUUCUCAAAAUGGAAAUGAUUGACGAGCCACCAGUGCUGACACCACAACCUUCCCCUUGCCACAAGACUCCAACACCUCCACCCCCCAGGAAUAGAACCCCACCCAGGGUUCCUAUCAAACCUGCUCCUUCUCCUGUCCCUAGCCCUAAACAUCCCCCGUCACCCAUGCCUGUAUACUCCCCUUCACCUGUCCGAGUCAACUCUCCACCUCCUUCAGCAUUUACCUCUAAGUCAAUGUCAUCAUCUCCAGUAAAAACACCUUCACCUUCUCGCACCCGUACACCCUCUCCCAUCCCUUCACUUCCCCCCACACCCAUCCACCAUCCAUCCCCUACCCCUUCUCCUACACCUACGAAGCCCCCUACACCUUCCCCAACCCCAACACCUGCUCACUCUCCCUCUCCUGGCCCCCUCGUUAUAAAAGAAGCAUCUGACAUUCCACCUAUGCCACCACCCUCCAUUAGUAGUGCAUUACAAGCUGCAGCGACUGCCAAGACAGCCCUCCAGAGAACCGUUACCUCCGAGACUAUCGGGAGCUUUUUAGAUACCUCGUCUGGGGAGAAGAUCUGGAUCUGCCCUGCUUGUAAACGUCAGGAUGACGGCAGCCCCAUGGUUGGCUGUGACAUCUGCGAUGAUUGGUAUCAUUGGGAAUGUAUAGGGAUAAAUAAAGAACCUGAGGAGGAUAGCUGGUACUGCAACAAGUGUUUAGCCCCGGCGAGGAAACCAUCCAAACGUGGGCGUGGGGGUGGACGGGGUAGGGGCCGAGGCAGAGGCAGGAAAAAAUCUUUGAAAGACUAAUGUGUAUUACAAAACAAAUGACUAUAUAUUUUUUGCUGUUCAGACGGAUACUAAAGCAAUAAGUCCGGGCUGAAUUACAAAUCUGAACAGUUUUUUGGAGUAGAGCAGGAAGGAGAGUUCUGAGGAAACACUGCUCUGUGUUUAGAUUCUGUUGUGUUCCACUAUUGUUUGUGUACGUUACAGGUAGAUUGGAAACUCUUGUUUUAAUGAUUUGGCUAUAUUGAAUAUAAUUGUAUGAAACAGAUCUAGAGUACAUAAAUUAUUAUGAGGUGUUUUAUAAGAGAUAAUUUAUGUUAAAACAACUUCAGGUAAAUUGUACCACAGCAUUAGUUAUAAUCGCAGAGAAGAGCUUCACUCAGAGUGUCACUGUGGUUGUAAGGUUUCCAUAGUAACUGUUACUGUGGUUGUAAAGUUUCCAUAGUAACUGUAACUAUGACUAAGGUUUCCAUAGUAACUGUCACUGUGACUAAGGUUUCCAUAGUAACUGUCACUGUGGUUGUAAGAUUUCCAUAGUAACUGUUACUGUGGUUGUAAAGUUUCCAUAGUAACUGUCACUAUGGUUGCAAGGUUUCCAUAGUAACUGUAACUAUGACUAAGGUUUCCAUAGUAACUGUCACUGUGAUUGUAAGGUUUUCAUAGUAACUGUCUGUAUGGUUGUAAGGUUUCCAUAGUAACUUACUGUCACUAUGGUUGUAAGGUUUCCAUAGGUUUCCAUAGUUAUGUAAUAGCUAGGGGAUGAUAUUUAUCUAUCCGAAUAGCAUUUGUCUGGUAUGAAAGAAGAUGUAAGUUUGGAUUAAUUGCAUGUACCUGUUUAGAAGCCUGAUCAGGUGAAGAUAUGUCUUAAUUACAUCUUCCUGUAUGUUUCCUCAUGUGAGAUAUUUAUAAAUGGCAGCAAUUUGUUUUAUGUUUCAAAGGUUUUCUCUGUUGAUAAUUGUAUAAGAUACCAGAUUUAUUUGUCAUUAAGUUUAGGGUAACUAAAACGUGUUACAUAAUGCUAAGGUUUCAACUAAAAAGCAGUUCUCCAAUUGUGAAACUGGCUUAACACUUUUUGUUAACAAGUAGAAAUGCAUUGGGCAGAAGAAAUUAAAUUACAAAAAAAUGCAUUUUAUUUACAAAAUGUGACUCUGUAAACUAGAGGCACCUAUUGGUUAUAAAAAGAUAAAGGUACUGAUAAAGUGUUAACAAACUCAAAGCUGUAAAUUUCAGUUUUACGUUUAUGAUUUCUUUUAUAAAACUAGUUUGUUGAACCUGAAUCCGUUAAAGUGUUCAUAUUCACUGUACGAACCGUUAAAGUGUUCAUAUUCACUGUACGAACCGUUAAAGUGUUCAUAUUCACUGUACGAACCGUUAAAGUGUUCAUAUUCACUGUACGAACCGUUAAAGUGUUCAUAUUCACUGUACGAACCGUUAAAGUGUUCAUAUUCACUGUACGAACCGUUAAAGUGUUCAUAUUCACUGUACGAACCGUUAAAGUGUUCAUAUUCACUGUACGAACCGUUAAAGUGUUCAUAUUCACUGUACGAACCGUUAAAGUGUUCAUAUUCACUGUACGAAUAUUGACUUCAACCACUAAAAAUAUCUAAAUAUAAUGAAUGUGUCACACAUACAGUAGAUGUAGACACACGGUGGAAUGUUACGAUAUUUACAGGGUUUAACAUUACAGCUGAACAACGAAAUGAAUGUAUUGGCCCUUCAUGGAAUGUCAGGUUUAUACAUUGGAGAUCUGGUUUAUACAUAGUAGGUCUGAUUUAUACCAGGUGUAUAUUCUACAAGUUUCGGUUUAGAGAUGUUACGCUAUACAUUAUAUAUUGGGAAGUUUUAAGUGUGAAGUAAAGCAUUGUGUUAAGGACAAACUAAAGUCAAACACUAGAAUUCUCAUGUGUAGCAUUUUUCAUAUGUGUAAGGAUUUAUUUUACUAUUUUAUUAUGGUAAAAUUAAAGUAGAUAAAAUGUUCAUUUUCAUUUGUAUUUAUUCAUUAUUCAUUAUAGUUUAGACAUUUUUACGUUUUAUUUAAUAUGAAGUUGAAUGUUCUUGGUAGAAAGGACAGAUAAUUGAUGGAUGAAGAUGUAUACAACUGUAAUAAAAUUGUAUACAGCUUAUUUUGACAGUGU